GAUCAUUAACGAAGCAUUAGAAAGGUUGUAGCUGCCUUGAAAGAGGAUGUGCACGCCUUUUAAAUCUUCUAUUUACCACCUGUGAACUCUUGCGGAGAUCGUGAUAACUCUCACAUGAAAAUUGUGGAUUAGUAGGCUUGCUAAGUGCUUGCUUACGAUUUCGCGGUCUCUUGCUUUUACACACACUUUAAAAGUUUUGAAUGUUGAUUUACGGAUUGUAAUGAUCUGUAAUAAUUUAAAUACAACUUUCAGCAACGGAUCUCUUGGCUCUCGCAUCGAUGAGGAACGCAGCGAAAUGCGAUAACUAAUGUGAAUUGCAGAAUUCAGUGAAUCAUCGAGUCUUUGAACGCACCUUGCACCCUUUGGUAUUCCGAAGGGUAUGCCUGUUUGAGUGUCAUUAAAUUCUCAAACUCACUAUGUUUCUUUUGAAACGUAUUGGGCUUUGGAUGUGGGGGUUGCAGGCUUUAACGAGUCGGCUCCUCUUAAAUGCAUUAGUGGCUUGUCGAUCCCCAUUAAAUGGUGUGAUAGUAAUAUCUGCAUCAUAACUAAUGGCUAGGUCAUGCAAUGGCAAUUUGAAGCUGCUUUCUAACGGUCUUCGGACAAUUCGAACCAUUUGACCUCAAAUCAGGUAGGACUACCCGCUGAACUUAAGCAUAUCAAUAAGCGGAGGAAAAGAAACUAACAAGGAUUCCCCUAGUAACUGCGAGUGAAGCGGGAAAAGCUCAAAUUUAAAAUCUGGCGGCUCCGUCGUCCGAGUUGUAAUUUAGAGAAGUGUUACCCGUGCUGGACCGUGCACAAGUCUCCUGGAAUGGAGCGUCAUAGAGGGUGAGAAUCCCGUCUUUGGCACGGACUCCCAGUGCAUUGUGGUGCGCUCUCGAAGAGUCGAGUUGUUUGGGAAUGCAGCUCAAAAUGGGUGGUAAAUUCCAUCUAAAGCUAAAUAUUGGGGAGAGACCGAUAGCGAACAAGUACCGUGAGGGAAAGAUGAAAAGAACUUUGGAAAGAGAGUUAAACAGUACGUGAAAUUGCUGAAAGGGAAACGCUUGAAGUCAGUCGCGUCGUUCGGGAUUCAGCCUUGCUUUUGCUUGGUGUACUUCCUGUUCGACGGGUCAGCAUCAGUUUUGGCCGGUGGAUAAGGGCUCAGAGAAUGUGGCACCUUCGGGUGUGUUAUAGCUUUGGGUCGCAUACAUCGGCUGGGACUGAGGAACUCAGCACGCCGCAAGGCCGGGUU
RNAcentral lists this ribosomal RNA (1228 nucleotides) under uncultured fungus. RNAcentral describes it as "eukaryotic LSU rRNA". The stretch from base 615 to 1228 matches the Rfam family "Eukaryotic large subunit ribosomal RNA", at positions 1 to 617 of the family's 3401-position model. Lineage: Eukaryota; Fungi. The record is from RNAcentral.